RNAcentral lists this long non-coding RNA (1289 nucleotides) under Coturnix japonica (Japanese quail). RNAcentral's name for it is "lncRNA (ENSCJPG00005013868.1)". The record is from RNAcentral. Lineage: Eukaryota; Metazoa; Chordata; Aves; Galliformes; Phasianidae.
GUGAAAUUAACUCUGAGGCAGCCAGAGUAUAUGGAUUAAAACUGUUUUUCAACCUUCAACAGAUUUCAGCAAAGGUUCUGCUACAUCCUCUUGCUUCCUCUCCUUUCUUGUUAGAAUGUUUGAGGAUUUUUUUUAUUUUUUUUUUUUUCAGUCACAAUCUUUUCUGAGAUGUUUCCUGAGAUAUUAUUAUGGAGAAGUAAUGUAGAUGAUAAAAAAGCAUGAAAAAGUGUUCAAAAAGAAGUGGAAAAAGAUCAGCAGCAGGACCCCACCACCCCCAUGCAACAGAGGUUCAAAGAUGCUGCAUUCCUUGUGCUGUGCCACCAGCUCUGGCUGCCAGCGUGCCCUCUGAUGACUUUCUUUAAUCCUCUUUCUUGCAUAGAUGGGGACCAGAACCUAUGGAAACAACAACUGCAAGUGGAAAUCCAUGUGGAGAGAAGUACCUGCAUAUCCGUUCUAUUGAAAUGUUUCCAACAAAACCAAAAGGAUGUUGUGGCCAAAUGCCUGCAGUGUCUGUCAUCUGCCUCAUGAAACUGCAGUCUGCUGAGAUAUUCCUGCCUGCUGGUGGGAGAAGAAAGGGACUGAGUCAGUAAGAGGCAGCCACCUACACCUGUACUUAAGGGAGAAUCACUUAUAUCUUAGGAUAUCAACACCAGAUUUUCCAAACAAACAAACUGAUAGUUCACUUUCUUAUCUACACAUUUAGACGUGACAUUUCUCUGUAACUCACUUGCAGUGUUUUGUUUUGGGUAUUCAUUUCAUCACAUUGGUGUUAGAUUUAAGGGUUUUUUCAUAUGGAGGUACACAACAAAACUGUGAACUUGCAGAGAUUAUCAUUCACACAGUAUGAAACCACUGCAGAAGCAAGCAGAUAAAACAUCAUAAACAUUUCUGAACAAUACGCAGUUCAAUUCUCUGUCCUUAUGUUAACUGUGCCCUUAGCUGAAUGUCAGUCUUCCACUGGAGAAGCCAAAAAAAAUGUUACUGUUGUGCAUAUCUUUUUUGUGGUACUCUCUAGCUAGCUACAACCUCUGACUACCGAACCUACAAGUUAAGUACAUUAUGUUGUUGGAUGCAUCUGGCCCCAUGAAUUUACAAACCAAGAAUAUACUGUGUUAAAGCAAUCAAAAAAAUGCACUUUCUGCUGUGGGUGGGUUUUGCUGACUCACUUGGUUUGGUUGCUGUGAGUAAUGAUAGCACCUUAAGAACUUCAGAAACAGUAAACUAACAUUUCUCAUCACUUUCAUUUUUAUAGAAAUAAAUGUUUUAAGACCAGUAAAAUUAAAAUGUAA